UACCCCCUGGAAAGGGGUCAAGAGACACCUGAUUGAUGGUGGUGUUCUUAUGUCAGUGAGGGGCAGAGCAGAGGACGGUCCUUUGCUCAUCCUAGCUGAGGCCUGGGUUGGUGCCGGAGCUGUUUCAUGCUUAGGGCUCAUGA
Cavia porcellus (domestic guinea pig) is the source of this 143-nucleotide small nucleolar RNA. It matches the Rfam family "Small nucleolar RNA SNORA48". From Rfam's summary of the family: The snoRNA ACA 48 has been identified to guide pseudouridylation of the residue U3797 in the 28S rRNA subunit. Its host gene EIF4A1 (eukaryotic translation initiation factor 4A1) is shared with U67 and snoRNA mgU6-77 The record is from Rfam. Lineage: Eukaryota; Metazoa; Chordata; Mammalia; Rodentia; Caviidae.